UUACGGCCACAUCACGUUGAAAUACCGGCUCUGUAUGAUCACCGAAGUUAAGAAACAUCAAGCUUGGUCAGUACCUAAAUGGGUGACCGCCUGGGAAAACCACGUGCUGUAAG
Non-coding RNA from Acanthosepion pharaonis, 113 nucleotides. The record is from the annotation of a GenBank genome assembly. NCBI's taxonomy places the organism in Eukaryota, Metazoa, Mollusca, Cephalopoda, Sepiida, Sepiidae.